GAAUUCCAUGGAUUUAUUGGCCAAAUAGUCCGCAGAACUAACUAUGAUGCUUGUUCGUGGGUGGUUUCAUCCGGGGUGGCUCUCCUUGGUUAUGUAGCUUUGUUAUGCUUCUUAACUGUGGUAUAACCAUAGUUUUAAUGGUAGCUUAAACCUCCUAUGCACUAACUAGAUAGGAAUGUCAUGGAUAAAUGUGAGAUGUGUCAUCAGGUCCCCUCAUUCAUAAUUGUCAACUUCAGGUACCUGUUGAUCAUGUUG
This 255-nucleotide unclassified non-coding RNA is filed under the name Hevea brasiliensis (rubber tree). Lineage: Eukaryota; Viridiplantae; Streptophyta; Magnoliopsida; Malpighiales; Euphorbiaceae. The record is from RNAcentral.